RNAcentral lists this ribosomal RNA (212 nucleotides) under uncultured soil bacterium. Its description in RNAcentral is "partial 16S ribosomal RNA". It matches the Rfam family "Bacterial small subunit ribosomal RNA", at positions 26 to 245 of the family's 1533-position model. The record is from RNAcentral.
AGCCUGAACGCUGGCGGCGUGGCUAAGACAUGCAAGUCGAACGGAUGUAGCAAUACAUCAGUGGCGGACGGGUGAGUAAUGAAUCGCUAACGUACCCCGGAGCCUGGGAUAGCUGCCCGAAAGGGCAGGUAAUACCAGAUGAGACCACGAACAGGCAUCUGUUUGUGCUCAAAGCAGCAAUGCACUCUGGGAGCGGGCGUAGUUUCGUAAGU